AAUGAAAUGUCUGAUAAAAGAGUUAUUCUGAUAGAAUAAAUAAUAUAUAAUUAACUAUAUUUUCAUUA
Molecule: transfer RNA, 68 nt
Filed under: Dentathalia scutellariae
Lineage: Eukaryota; Metazoa; Arthropoda; Insecta; Hymenoptera; Athaliidae
Description: tRNA-Ile
Source: RNAcentral